Molecule: ribosomal RNA, 841 nt
Filed under: uncultured organism
Description: bacterial SSU rRNA
Rfam family: Bacterial small subunit ribosomal RNA
Source: RNAcentral
GUGAGUAACACGUAGUUGAUCUGCCUCAGAGAUGAGAAUAACUCACGGAAACGUGGGCUAAUGCUCAAUAAGCUCCCAUGCUUUAAAGGGAUGGGAGAAAAGCUCCGGCGCUUUGAGAUGAGACUGCGGGCCAUCAGCUAGAUGGUAGGGUAAUGGCCUACCAUGGCAACGACGGCUAGGGGACCUGAGAGGGUGACCCCCCACACUGGAACUGAGACACGGUCCAGACUUCUACGGAAGGCAGCAGUGAGGAACCUUGCACAAUGGGCGAAAGCCUGAUGCAGCGACGCCGCGUGGGUGAAGACGGGUUUCGGCCUGUAAAGCCCUUUUCUGUGUGACGAGAGUGGACGGUAGCACAGGAAUAAGUCUCGGCUAACUACGUGCCAGCAGCCGCGGUAAAACGUAGGAGGCAAGCGUUAUCCGGAGUUACUGGGCGUAAAGCGCGUGCAGGCGGGUCGGUCAGUGAGUUAUGAAAGCCCUCGGCUAAACUGGGGGAGGUUGACUCAGACUGCCGAUCUAGAGUGGAGAAGAGGAAGGUAGAAUUCCGCGUGUAGUGGUGAAAUGCGUAGAUAUGCGGAAGAAUACCAGUGGCGAAGGCGGCCUUCUGGUCUCCAACUGACGCUCAGACGCGAAAGCAUGGGUAGCGAACGGGAUUAGAAACCCCGGUAGUCCAUGCCGUAAACGAUGCACACUAAACGUUCGAAGUCCGAAAGGGCUUUGAGUGUUGAAGCAAACGCGAUAAGUGUGCCGCCUGGGGAGUACGAUCGCAAGAUUAAAACUCAAAGGAAAUUUGACGGGGGCCCGCACAAGCAGCGGAGCGUGUGGUUUAAUUCGAGGAUAC